CCCCAGACUCCUACGGGAGGCAGCAGUGGGGAAUAUUGGGCAAUGGACGCAAGUCUGACCCAGCAACGCCGCGUGAAGGAAGAAGGCUUUCGGGUUGUAAACUUCUUUUAAGGGGGAAGAGCAGAAGACGGUACCCCUUGAAUAAGCCACGGCUAACUACGUGCCAGCAGCCGCGGUAAUACGUAGGUGGCAAGCGUUGUCCGGAUUUACUGGGUGUAAAGGGCGUGCAGCCGGAGAGACAAGUCAGAUGUGAAAUCCCCGCGCUCAACGUGGGAACUGCCUUUGAAACUGGCAAACUGGAGUGUGUGAGAGGAUAGUGGAAUUCCAGGUGUAGGAGUGAAAUCCGUAGAUAUCUGGAGGAACAUCAGUGGCGAAGGCGACUAUCUGGCACAUAACUGACGCUGAGGAGCGAAAGCGUGGGUAGCAAACAGGAUUAGAUACCCCCGUAC
Molecule: ribosomal RNA, 449 nt
Filed under: uncultured bacterium
Lineage: Bacteria
Description: bacterial SSU rRNA
Rfam family: Bacterial small subunit ribosomal RNA
Source: RNAcentral